CUUGCUCUGUGGGAUCAGUGGCGAACGGGUGAGUAACACGUGAGCAAUCUGCCCCUGACUCUGGGAUAAGCGCUGGAAACGGCGUCUAAUACCGGAUACGAGCUGCGACCGCAUGGUCAGUAGCUGGAAAGAAUUUCGGUCAGGGAUGAGCUCGCGGCCUAUCAGCUUGUUGGUGAGGUAAUGGCUCACCAAGGCGUCGACGGGUAGCCGGCCUGAGAGGGUGACCGGCCACACUGGGACUGAGACACGGCCCAGACUCCUACGGGAGGCAGCAGUGGGGAAUAUUGCACAAUGGGCGCAAGCCUGAUGCAGCAACGCCGCGUGAGGGAUGACGGCCUUCGGGUUGUAAACCUCUUUUAGCAGGGAAGAAGCGAAAGUGACGGUACCUGCAGAAAAAGCGCCGGCUAACUACGUGCCAGCAGCCGCGGUAAUACGUAGGGCGCAAGCGUUAUCCGGAAUUAUUGGGCGUAAAGAGCUCGUAGGCGGUCUGUCGCGUCUGCUGUGAAAACCCGAGGCUCAACCUCGGGCCUGCAGUGGGUACGGGCAGACUA
RNAcentral lists this ribosomal RNA (551 nucleotides) under Microbacterium sp. RNAcentral's name for it is "bacterial SSU rRNA". It matches the Rfam family "Bacterial small subunit ribosomal RNA", at positions 79 to 643 of the family's 1533-position model. Lineage: Bacteria; Bacillati; Actinomycetota; Actinomycetes; Micrococcales; Microbacteriaceae. The record is from RNAcentral.